GGGACUCCGGGAUCGGGUGUUUUUAAGCUCGGGAUUUCGGGAUUGACCCUUUCGUGAUCCGGGAAUUCAUUUUUCGAAUUUUGGGACCUUUCGGGAAUUCAUGUUUUUUAAGCCCGGGAUUUCGGUAUUUCGUGUUUUUAAGCUCAGGAUUUCGGGAUCAGGACCCCUCCUACCCUCCCUCAUAUAUGUUAUAAUUGACUGAACUUAGAUAUUUAUGGUGAUAAUGACUUCACAUUCCAUUUUAAAUAUAUUAUUUAUACUUAAGGCACAUGUUGAAGUGAAGAUACCUUUGUAAGGGGAGAUAUUUUUUUGUUAAUUGAGGUUGAUAAACUUUGGUAAGGGGAGAUAAUUGUUCAAAUCAUAAAUGACUGGGAUAGACUUUGGUAAGAGCCUAAGGGGAGAUAUUUUUUGUUAAUUGAGGUUGAUAAAUUUUGGUAAGGGGAGAUCAUUUUUCAAAUCAUAAAUGACGGGGUUAGACUUUGGUAAGAGCCUAAGGGGAGAUAUUUUUUGUUAAUUAAGGUUGAUAAACUUUGGUAAGGGGAGAUAAUUUUUCAAAUCAUAAAUGACGGGGAUAGACUUUGGUAAGAGCCUAAGGGGAGAUAUUUUUGUUAAUUAAGGUUGAUAAACUUUGGUAAGGGGAGAUAAUUUUUCAAAUCAUAAAUGACGGGGAUAGACUUUGGUAAGAGCCUAAGGGGAGAUAUUUUUUGUUAAUGAAGGUUGAUAAACUUUGGUAAGGGGAGAUAAUUUUUCAAAUAAUAAAUGAAUGGGAUAGACUUUGGUAAGAGCCUAAGGGGAGAUAGUUUUGUUAAUGAAGGAUGAUAAACUUUGGUAAGGGGAGAUAAUUUUUCAAAUCAUAAAUGACGGGGAUAGAUUUUGAUAAGAGCGUAAGGUGAGAUAUUUUUGUUAAUGAAGGUUGAUAGACUUUGGUAAGGGGAGAUAAUUUUUCAACUCAUAAAUGACGGAGAUAGACUUUGGUAAGGGGAGAUAAUUUUUCAAAUCAUAAAUGACGGGGAUAGACUUUAGUAAGAGCCUAAGGGGAGAUAUUUUUGUUAAUGAAGGUGGACAGACUUUGGUAAGGGGAGAUAAUUUUUCAAAUCAUAAAUGACGGGGAUAGACUUUAGUAAGAGCCUAAGGGAAGAUAUUUUUGUUAAUGAAGGUGGACAGACUUUGGUAAGAGGUGAUAAUUUUUUAAUGAAGGAGAAUAAACUUUGGUAAGGCGAGAUGAUUAAGGGGG
Molecule: long non-coding RNA, 1234 nt
Filed under: Mytilus galloprovincialis (Mediterranean mussel)
Lineage: Eukaryota; Metazoa; Mollusca; Bivalvia; Mytilida; Mytilidae
Source: RNAcentral